GUGCUCGCUUCGGCUGCACAUAUACUAAAAUUGGAACGAUACAGAGAUUAUCGUGUCCCCUGCACAAGGAUGACACGCAAAUUCGUGAAGUGUUCCAUAUUUAA
Molecule: small nuclear RNA, 104 nt
Filed under: Jaculus jaculus (lesser Egyptian jerboa)
Lineage: Eukaryota; Metazoa; Chordata; Mammalia; Rodentia; Dipodidae
Source: RNAcentral